RNAcentral lists this long non-coding RNA (1034 nucleotides) under Homo sapiens (human). RNAcentral's name for it is "HSALNT0321150". The record is from RNAcentral. Lineage: Eukaryota; Metazoa; Chordata; Mammalia; Primates; Hominidae.
AUUUUCUAAGAAAACCUUACAUAUUUUUGGUACUGCUCUUUUUUUUUUUUUUUUUUUUUUUUGAGGCGGAAUCUCUCUCGCCCAGGCUGGAGUGCAGUGGCGCGAUCUCAGCUCACUGCAAGCUCCGCCUCCCGGGUUCACGCCAUUCUCCCGCCUCAGCCUCCCUCAGCGUCCGGAGUAGCUAGGACUACAGGCGCCCGCUACCACGCCCGGCUAAUUUUUUUGUAGUUUUAGUAGAGACGGGGUUUCACCGUGUUAGCCAGGAUGGUCUCCAUCUCCUGACCUCGUGAUCCGCCCGCCUCGGCCUCCCAAAGCGUUGGGAUUACAGGAGUGAGCCACCGCGCCCGGCCGAUUCUUGAAGAAACUGCUCUCAUAAGCUAAGGUUCCUUAUGAUUCUGCAAGGAAGAGAAGACUAAAGCAAAUCACUGUCUGAAAACAUAACAGCUGGCUAAAGCUGGAGUGCAGUGGCAUGAUCUCGGCUCACUGCAACCUCCGCCUCCCGGGUUCAAGUGAUUCUCCUGCCUCAGCCUCCCAAAUAGCUGUGAUUACAGGGAACCCGUUGUUGCUCAGACACCCGAUGUGGAAAUUUUUCUUCUCCCUCAGUUCAAAUGAGAUAAAGAUCCUCCUCUCCUCACAGUGAACAUGAGGUCACAGUGUCCAUGUAACUAACUCCUGGUUAAGAGGAUAUGGAUAGAAGGCACAUGUUCAACUUCUGGCUUCUGUCCUUGAAAAGUGUGAUGAUUCCAUCCUUUGCUGUCUUCCUUCCCGCUGACUGGAAUGUGGACUUGGUAGUGAGCUACCUUGGACUAUGUGGAUGAAGACAAAGAUAAAAGGAACCAAGGACUCUGAUGAUUCUGUAGAGAAGAGGAACCGUAGCUGCUCAAACGUUCAUGUGAAAGAAGAAUAAACUAUCAGAUUUAAGCCACUGCUAUUUUGGGUCUUUGUGAUAAACAGUGUUUACCAUAUCCUAAUUCACUAUUCCUUCCAUUUCUAGGUCAACCAUGUUGAAUUAAAUAUAGUGCUCUAACUUGCAA